AGGAUAAACGCUGGCGGCGUGCCUUACGCAUGCAAGUCGAACGGUGCCUUUCGGGGCACAGUGGCGGACGGGUGAGUAACACGUACGUGACCUGACGCGAAGCGGGGGAUACCCGUCCGAAAGGGCGGCUAAUACCGCAUGUGGAUCGUGGUGGCAUCACCGAGGAUCCAAAGCCUUCGGGCACUUCAGGAUGGGCCCGCGGCCUAUCAGCUAGUUGGAGGGGUAACGGCCCACCAAGGCUUCGACGGGUAGCUGGUCUGAGAGGACGAUCAGCCGGAUUGGGACUGAGAUACGGCCCAGACUCCUACGGGGGGCAGCAAUUAGGAAUCUUGCACAAUGGGCGAAAGCCUGAUGCAGCGACGUCGCGUGGGGACGAAAUCUUUCGGAUGUAAACCCCUUUGAGUGGGAAGAAACAAUGACGGUACCACUCGAAUAAGCCCCGGCUAACUACGUGCCAGCAGCCGC
This 465-nucleotide ribosomal RNA is filed under the name uncultured bacterium. Its description in RNAcentral is "SSU rRNA". It matches the Rfam family "Bacterial small subunit ribosomal RNA", at positions 26 to 518 of the family's 1533-position model. The record is from RNAcentral.